CCUACGGGUGGCAGCAGUAGGGAAUAUUGCUCAAUGGGGGAAACCCUGAAGCAGCAACGCCGCGUGGAGGAUGAAGGUUUUCGGAUUGUAAACUCCUUUUGUUAGAGAAGAUAAUGACGGUAUCUAACGAAUAAGCACCGGCUAAUACCGUGCCAGCAGCCGCGGGAAUACGGAGGGUGCAAGCGUUAUUCGGAAUAACUGGGCGUAAAGAGCGCGUAGGCGGGAUAGCAAGUCAGAUGUGAAAUCCUAUGGUUUAAACAUAGAACUGCAUUUGAAACUGUGAUUCUGGAGUAUGGGAGAGGUAGGUGGAAUUCGUGGUGGAGGGGUGAAAUGCGUAGAGAUCAAGAGGAAUACUCAUUGCGAAGGCGACCUACUGGAACAUAACUGACGCUGAUGCGCGAAAGCGUGGGGAGCAAACAGGAUUAGAUACCCUAGUAGUC
Molecule: ribosomal RNA, 440 nt
Filed under: uncultured bacterium
Lineage: Bacteria
Description: partial 16S ribosomal RNA
Rfam family: Bacterial small subunit ribosomal RNA
Source: RNAcentral